UACGUAGGCAGCGAGCGUUGUUCGGAGCUACUGGGCGUAAAGGGUGUGUAGGCGGUUGUUUAAGUUUGGUGUGAAAUCUCCCGGCUCAACUGGGAGGGUGCGCCGAAUACUGAAUGACUAGAGUGCGGGAGAGGAGAGUGGAAUUCCUGGUGUAGCGGUGAAAUGCGUAGAUAUCAGGAGGAACACCGGUGGUGUAGACGGCUCUCUGGACCGUAACUGACGCUGAGGCACGAAAGCGUGGGUAGCAAACAGG
This 253-nucleotide ribosomal RNA is filed under the name uncultured bacterium. RNAcentral describes it as "partial 16S ribosomal RNA". It matches the Rfam family "Bacterial small subunit ribosomal RNA", at positions 524 to 776 of the family's 1533-position model. The record is from RNAcentral.